Molecule: small RNA, 99 nt
Filed under: Flavobacterium segetis
Lineage: Bacteria; Pseudomonadati; Bacteroidota; Flavobacteriia; Flavobacteriales; Flavobacteriaceae
Description: Flavo-1 RNA
Rfam family: Flavo-1 RNA
Source: RNAcentral
UUUUUACUGCGUGAGGGAUUGCAGUGGAAAUCCUUUUUUACUAUAUGAAGUGCUAACGCAAUAGAAUAAAAAAGAUUGGAACAAAAAGCCCGACCAGAA